AGUGAACGCUGGCGGUAGGCCUAACACAUGCAAGUCGAACGGCAGCACAGUAAGAGCUUGCUCUUACGGGUGGCGAGUGGCGGACGGGUGAGGAAUACAUCGGAAUCUACUUUUUCGUGGGGGAUAACGUAGGGAAACUUACGCUAAUACCGCAUACGACCUACGGGUGAAAGCAGGGGAUCCUCGGACCUUGCGCGAUUGAAUGAGCCGAUGUCGGAUUAGCUGGUUGGCGGGGUAAAGGCCCACCAAGGCGACGAUCCGUAGCUGGUCUGAGAGGAUGAUCAGCCACACUGGAACUGAGACACGGUCCAGACUCCUACGGGAGGCAGCAGUGGGGAAUAUUGGACAAUGGGCGCAAGCCUGAUCCAGCCAUACCGCGUGGGUGAAGAAGGCCUUCGGGUUGUAAAGCCCUUUUGUUGGGAAAGAAAAGCAGCAGGUUAAUACCCCGCUGUUCUGACGGUACCCAAAGAAUAAGCACCGGCUAACUUCGUG
Molecule: ribosomal RNA, 492 nt
Filed under: uncultured bacterium
Lineage: Bacteria
Description: partial 16S ribosomal RNA
Rfam family: Bacterial small subunit ribosomal RNA
Source: RNAcentral